RNAcentral lists this ribosomal RNA (547 nucleotides) under Haemaphysalis inermis. Its description in RNAcentral is "partial large subunit ribosomal RNA". The stretch from base 100 to 415 matches the Rfam family "Bacterial large subunit ribosomal RNA", at positions 2078 to 2643 of the family's 2925-position model. The record is from RNAcentral. Lineage: Eukaryota; Metazoa; Arthropoda; Arachnida; Ixodida; Ixodidae.
AUUUAUUGAGUGCUAAGAGAUGGAAUUUCAAAAAAAAUCUUUUUUAAAAUUAAAAAUUGAAGUUAUUUUUAUAUGUGAAGAAACAAUAAUAUAAAUUUAGGACAAGAAGACCCUAUGAAUUUUUAUGUUUUUAUAUAUUAGUAAAUAUAUAUAUUACAUUUAAUUGGGGCGAUUUAAAAAUAUCAAGAACUUUUUAUUUAAAAAAUUGAUCCAUUAAUAAUGAUUAUAUGAUUAAAUACUCUAGGGAUAACAGCGUAAUAAUUUUAGAUAGAUCUUAUAGAUAAAAUAGUUUGCGACCUCGAUGUUGGAUUAGGAUUCUUAUUUAAUGAAGAAGUUAAAAAAAGAAGUUUGUUCAACUUUUAAAUUCCUACAUGAUCUGAGUUUAGACCGAUGUGAAUCAGGUUGGUUUCUACCUUAAUUUCAAAAAUAUAUUUCAAUUAGUACGAAAGGAAUUUUGAAAUAAUUUAUAAUUCUUAAUUUUACAGUUUUUGCAUCAAAUUUUGGAAUUAUCCAAGUGGCAGACAAAUGCUAGGAUUUCAAGCUUCCU